CACAGCUUGCUCAGCUCACAGUUACGCCCAUGGUGGUUCUCAGGAGAAUCUGGGCUUCAGGGAACACAGUUUAUGUGAACUCCCAGCUGACAGAGCUCCUAACGCAAUGAUUAGCAUGAAAGAGAGGCUGAGUAUGUCAUUGUUUAAGAGUGUUGAAAAGGGCAAAGUAUAGCCUCUCGGCUCUCUCAUUUUUUGUUUUUUUUUUUGAGAGAAGAUAUUACUAGGCCAUACCACACAUCAUCAUCCUUCUUGAGGUGGAUGUUGAGGGUUGUUUACUUGGCUCAGGCUUAGUCACAAGUUCAGAACAUUCUGUGGGUUUUACUGGAACUCGAUAUCAUGGCUCAUCCAGGCUCAGAUCACUCCAGCUAAGGCUGCCAGGGACGUCCCCCAGGGCAAUGGUUAGGAUUCCCAGGCUCCAAGAGAGGAAGCAGGCCUUUUGCUUCUCCUUCAGCCCAACAGGUAUAUGUCCUCCUCCCAAAUGAUCUAGUGCUGCAAAGCUGGAAGGGCCCUUGGCAGGUGCACUCAGGGCCCCAUGAGGGAGACCUUCUCAGGCUGCGAAGCUUAGAAAGACAGCUACUUGGGAUUCGUAGAAGUAUCCCCACUCCCUGGAAGUCAAGACACACUCUAUGAGACGCUACCCGAUUUUCCCCUCUGCUCUCAAGAAGAGACAACUUUAAAGCGCAGUUGAAGAAAUUAACCUGGGUGAGCCCACAGAGUGGAACAUUUGAUGAGCAGGAAGCAUGCGUCCUCAAUGGUCAAUGCCCAUCAUUUUGGAACCAUUAGGAACCACAAUAGUCACCUUGUGCUCAUUCAGAGGAAAGCUGGAAAGCAAAUGCUGGCAGGCUGAAGAUGGCAGAAUCCCAAGAUUGUGGAGCCAGCCCAGGAAGUAUCCGACUACCACAAGUGUUCUAGGUUUGGAAAUUGAUGAAUCAUCUUACUGUGCUGGCAGCAUUCAAACUAACUGUGUGCUUGACACAUGGCGGAAAAGUUGGCUCUUUGAAAUUCGAGCUGAGUACAGAUCAUGUCACCUGCCCAACGCGUGACCUGUUCCACUUGACAUCUGACCCCCUGUGCCCAACGUCACCUGGAGCCUGAAAUCUGGAAGCAGAAAGUCCUUGACUGGAGUCAGCGGAGAGAAAAUCAUCACCUGCUUGGGCACAAACAUGCCUGGUGACUGCGUCACUGUUUGUUAAGUGGGAUCAGCUAAUAGUUGCACAGCGGGCCUUCAAAGCCCCAUGGUGGGGCGGAUGAAGUUUUGUAAAUGCAUUCCCUGUGCGGAGGCUUGGACUUUGAAUCUCAAGUACACUGGGAGCGUCUGAGCUUGCAACAGGCUCUCUGGUGGACUCUGUGUGGUAAAUGCAGUGACCAAGAACUCACUUCAUUUCUAGCACCCUUUGCCUGGUUCUCUCUCCUCCAGCCGCACUCCUGCCACAGGGUUUUUGCACUUGCUUCAUGGACACCCUCCCUCCGGACAACUAUGUAGCUUGUGGCUAGGUUUCCAUUAGCCACCUACCUACAAAUCCCCUCCUUUGAGACGUUCUGGACUGCUCUCUUUCUCCUUACCCUGCCUGAUUGUUUUUUUAUACCAACUGAAUCUAUUUAUUUACUUGAUUAGUAGUCUGUGGCGUGUCUUCUCCACCAGAACCUAAGUUCCCUGAGGGCAGAAGUCACAUCUCUUUGGUCCACUGCUCUGGCCCUUGUUCCUACAUAGUAAAAGAAAUUUCUUGAAUAAAUGAAUGUGUGAAGGAACGGUUUCACUUCAUUUUACAAGUGGAAAAACCAAGAAACAGAGAAAGGAAACAAACUAGCCGAGGUCAGCAGCUCUUUAGCGGCAGAGUUAGUAGUAACACCGAUUUCCUAACUCACAACCCAGUUUGUUUUCUUCCCAUAUGACGCUGUUCUUCAAAUAUUUGGCAAGAAAGUCGCCCCUUGACUCAUGAUUUGUUCAUCUAUUUUUAACCAUUUCAGGUCUGUGGAGAUAACUAGAACCUCAUUAGGGAUAAAUGCUUAUUAACUAAGUUCUUAUUGAAUAUCUGUCUUAUAACUCUUUCAAAGGCCAAGGUGAUUGAAAGUUAUUUAAGCUAUUAUAUUUUUAAAACAUAUUUAAUACAGUGAUGAUAAGCAUUUAUUGUAUAAAUAUGGAUAUUCAUUAAGUAGAUGUAUUAUAUAUAUAUUUAAUAAUUGGAAUCAUGCUGUAUGCAAAGUUUUUAUGUUACAGUUUAGACAUGUUCUGAUGUCAUUAAAACUAACAUGGUUUUAGGGACUGCAUAUAUUCCAGUAUCUGGGUAUGUCAUAUUUCACUUAACCAUUGUCCCACUAUUGGUCAACAUUAUUUCCAUUCUUUUCAUUAUUGGGUUUAUAGUUUUUAGUUCUUUUAUAUUUCUAAGUUCAGAAUAUAUAUAUUCUUAACAUUCCAUAUCUGUCAAAACUAUACAGAGAAUGAA
This is a long non-coding RNA of Manis javanica (Malayan pangolin), 2444 nucleotides long. RefSeq lists it as uncharacterized. Lineage: Eukaryota; Metazoa; Chordata; Mammalia; Pholidota; Manidae. The record is from RefSeq and is a predicted model, not a curated record.